GUCAAGGUCUUGGCCUGGAUCAAGAGGCCAGGCUUGGGAAAUUGGAGGGAAGCUUCCCUUGGCAGCCAGAGCUUAGAGAAACUGAUGAAAAUGAGGGAGGGUUUGGCUACCUUUAUAGCCCGAGCCUCUUAGUCCUACCUAUUGUGCCCUCUCCUCUUAGGAAUGUCUCUGGAUGGAGAGGGACCUUAAUAGCAUUAAUCAGGCUCCUGUCACCUUGACAUCAUUUUGAGAGCCUCACUGGAAUGUCUGAACGUUCAAGGAAACUAUCCGCUUCUUGGCCUUCUCACCACCCGUUGGAGGGUAUUUAGGGUUGGGCAGCUGACCUAGGCACAGGAACUCUGAAAUCCAUAUAGUUCCAGGGUUACUGNAAACAAGCAUCUCCUUAACUUUCUUAUUUUUUUCCUUUCUAGGGCCUCACCUGAAGCAUAUGGAAGUUCCCAGGCGAGGGGUCUAAUCGGAGCUGUAGCCACCGGCCUACACCACAGCCACAGCAACGCCAGAUCUGAGCCACAUCUGUGACCUACACCACAGUUCAUGGCAACCCUGGAUCCUUAACCCAUGAGCUAGGCCAGGGAUGGAACCCAAGUCCUUAUGGAUACUAGUUGGGUGCAUUACCGCUGAGCCAUGACCAAAACUCCUACAUUAGAAGCAUUUAGGAGGCCAAUUACAUUAAAGUGUUUCAGAUAUCUACUGUUGCCAAACAUGUCACCCUAGCUCCAUGGUUUAAAUGAUAAAAAUGUUUUAUUAUCCUUUCCAAUGGUCCUGGGGGUUGAGUGAGCUCAGUGAGGUGGUCAUCUCUCAUGGGAUCUCCAUAACUGGUGACAGAUGGUGCCUAGGGCUGGAGUCAUCUCAAAGGCAGCUUCACAUGUCUAGUAUUGAUUCUGGCUGUUGACUGAGACUAUAGCUGAGACUGUCAGCUGGAACACCUACAAGUGGCCUCUCCAUGUGGCCUGGGUUCCUUCACAUUGUGGUAACUCAGUUCCAAGAAUGAGAGCCUGGCGAUGUCUGAGAGUGAGAGUGAGGCAAGAGCUGUAUCACCCUUUAUGAUCUAACCUCUGAAAUCAGAGUCACUUCCACCACAUUCUGUUCUGUGCAGAAAAGUUCACCCAGGUUCAGUGGGAGGGAUACCAAUGCCAUCCCUUGAUCAGAAAGGAGCAAGGUCACGUGGUCAAAUGAAUCUGUGGGAUGAGAACUAUAGUUACAUCCAUCUUUGAAGAAUAUUAUCUGACACAAACCACCAAGAAAGGAAAACUUUUGAAAGGAAAGAAAGAGGCAUUCCUCCUCAGGAUUCAGUGGGAAACCUGAGGUCGAAGAAAUGAGUCCUCACCUAGCAAAGCAACACUCCUGAUGUGGAAAGACAUUCCUAUGCAGGAACACUCCAAGGUGAACUGGACACAGGAUUUUGAAAAAGGGCAGAGCUGAACCAGAAAAGUCCCUGCCUGUUCUUCCAGCCCGGUAAAUCUACAAAGCUUUCAAAAGAGGGCAUAUAGAUGUUCCUGGGGUGGGUCAAAUUAGAGCUGCAGCUUGCUGGCCUACACCACAGCCACAGAAAUGCAAUACAAGCCCUGUCUGCGACCUAUGCUUGUGGCAAAACUGGAUCCUUAACCCACUGAGCAAGGCCAGGGAUCAAACCUGAAUCCUCAUGGGUACUAGUAGGAUUCUUAAUCUGCUGAGCCACAACGGGUACUCCGAGACAGUUUACUUUUCAGUUAGUUCAUGUGCCCCAAGUUAGAACCUCAGUUUCAUUCCUACUUUGCAUUUUUAUGAAUUUUUUCCAGUUUUAUUGAGAUAUAAUUGACAUAAAGCCCUGUAUAAGUUUAAGGUGUUCAGCAUAAUGAUUUGACUUACAUACAUCGUGUAAUGACUACUAGAAGUUUAGUGAUCAUCCAUCAUCUCAUAAGGAUACAAAAUAAAAGAAAAAGAAAAAAA
RNAcentral lists this long non-coding RNA (1929 nucleotides) under Sus scrofa (pig). RNAcentral's name for it is "lncRNA (ENSSSCG00025024636.1)". The record is from RNAcentral. Lineage: Eukaryota; Metazoa; Chordata; Mammalia; Artiodactyla; Suidae.